Molecule: ribosomal RNA, 492 nt
Filed under: uncultured bacterium
Lineage: Bacteria
Description: bacterial SSU rRNA
Rfam family: Bacterial small subunit ribosomal RNA
Source: RNAcentral
GAUGAACGCUAGCUACAGGCUUAACACAUGCAAGUCGAGGGGCAGCAUGGUCUUAGCUUGCUAAGGCCGAUGGCGACCGGCGCACGGGUGAGUAACACGUAUCCAACCUGCCGUCUACUCUUGGACAGCCUUCUGAAAGGAAGAUUAAUACAAGAUGGCAUCAUGAGUCCGCAUGUUCACAUGAUUAAAGGUAUUCCGGUAGACGAUGGGGAUGCGUUCCAUUAGAUAGUAGGCGGGGUAACGGCCCACCUAGUCUUCGAUGGAUAGGGGUUCUGAGAGGAAGGUCCCCCACAUUGGAACUGAGACACGGUCCAAACUCCUACGGGAGGCAGCAGUGAGGAAUAUUGGUCAAUGGACGAGAGUCUGAACCAGCCAAGUAGCGUGAAGGAUGACUGCCCUAUGGGUUGUAAACUUCUUUUAUACGGGAAUAAAGUUAGCCACGUGUGGUUUUUUGUAUGUACCGUAUGAAUAAGGAUCGGCUAACUCCGUGCC